RNAcentral lists this long non-coding RNA (226 nucleotides) under Lathyrus oleraceus (garden pea). RNAcentral's name for it is "Pisum sativum (pea) long non-coding RNA (PSAT_LNC023182)". The record is from RNAcentral. Lineage: Eukaryota; Viridiplantae; Streptophyta; Magnoliopsida; Fabales; Fabaceae.
CCAUAUAAUGGAAUUAAAAUCACUAGAAUCUAAGACCACAAAAACUUUUACUUGAUACUCCUUAAUCUCUAUCAUCUCGUCGCGCCGUCUUGCUUCACUGUAUUCCCUUGGUGCUUUGCCGGUUUCCCGAAUUGUUAUUUACUAGUUUUUUUUGUUUGGUUUUGGUGUUCAACAUCUAUUAUGAGAUUACUACCAUUUUCCCCUCUUACUGUCAUAUUGAACCUUC